Molecule: long non-coding RNA, 571 nt
Organism: Coregonus clupeaformis (lake whitefish)
Lineage: Eukaryota; Metazoa; Chordata; Actinopteri; Salmoniformes; Salmonidae
Exons: 3
Source: RefSeq, a predicted model, not a curated record
GUGUGUUGCGGUAGUAAGUUGAUCGCAUGCUAUUGCUUCUGCUACUACACGGUCUAUGGACAGUAACGUUUUAGCUACAUUGUGUCAUGUCAUGAUUAUGCCCGCGGUAAAACACGGAUAAAUAACUCGAUAUGGUGUUACCAAAAUAACCGGUUAGUGUUACAGUUCAAGGGCAACCAAUUUACGCUGUACUACUGUAUUACGCUGUAGUGCAACAACUUGAAAUGAUUGUCUGACAUUCGCUCACAUAUUGAGUGAAAGCAUGCUGAAAGCAUUUCUAACAGUAGGCCUACGGUCUGCUUGGGUCGGUGUUUCAGUAGUGAAGUGAGUGGUGCAGUUUCCAAGUUAGCCGGGUUCUCCUCUCCACCAUUCUCAACGGAGGCUUCACUCUAUGUGCACUGGCCCUACUGUCUGAAGAGAUGUUCCUACUGUAACUUCAACAAGUACAUCCCUCGCUCUGACAACCAGGACGUCAUGUUGGAGUGUCUCCAGCGGGAGACCGAGACCUUACUAAAGCUCAGCCAGGUGUCCCGUCUCUCUCCCCCUCCCUCCCAGUCUCUCUCCCCCUCCC